GUCGAGCGAAGCGCUUAAGUUUGAUUCUUCGGAUGAAGACUUUUGUGACUGAGCGGCGGACGGGUGAGUAACGCGUGGGUAACCUGCCUCAUACAGGGGGAUAACAGUUAGAAAUGGCUGCUAAUACCGCAUAAGACCACAGUACUGCAUGGUACAGUGGUAAAAACUCCGGUGGUAUGAGAUGGACCCGCGUCUGAUUAGGUAGUUGGUGAGGUAACGGCCCACCAAGCCGACGAUCAGUAGCCGACCUGAGAGGGUGACCGGCCACAUUGGGACUGAGACACGGCCCAGACUCCUACGGGAGGCAGCAGUGGGGAAUAUUGCACAAUGGGCGAAAGCCUGAUGCAGCGACGCCGCGUGAAGGAUGAAGUAUUUCGGUAUGUAAACUUCUAUCAGCAGGGAAGAAAAUGACGGUACCUGACUAAGAAGCCCCGGCUAACUACGUGCCAGCAGCCGCGGUAAUACGUAGGGGGCAAGCGUUAUCCGGAUUUACUGGGUGUAAAGGGAGCGUAGACGGCUGUGCAAGUCUGAAGUGAAAGGCAUGGGCUCAACCUGUGGACUGCUUUGGAAACUGUGCAGCUAGAGUGUCGGAGAGGUAAGUGGAAUUCCUAGUGUAGCGGUGAAAUGCGUAGAUAUUAGGAGGAACACCAGUGGCGAAGGCGGCUUACUGGACGAU
This 676-nucleotide ribosomal RNA is filed under the name uncultured Lachnospiraceae bacterium. RNAcentral describes it as "bacterial SSU rRNA". It matches the Rfam family "Bacterial small subunit ribosomal RNA", at positions 61 to 737 of the family's 1533-position model. The record is from RNAcentral. Lineage: Bacteria; Bacillati; Bacillota; Clostridia; Lachnospirales; Lachnospiraceae.